ACAAACUCGUCGGGAUAUAAAAUUUACAAUCAUAAACUUAAUACAUAACACAAACCUUAUACGGUAAGUAAAAUGAAAUCUAAUAAUAAAGAAGCUACAUGUUUUUUAGACACAAAAUGAUACUUCGUACAACACAUAUAUUAUUCUUUAUCAUAUUGGAUCACCUUCAUAUAAUAUAUACGUAGUAGAAUAUUUCAUAAUGUUAAAAUAAGAAGUGGAAUACAAUCAAAUAAAUAAAAGUGAAAAUAUAUUGAAUAUUUAAAAAUAUGGAAAUAUAUUGAAUAUUAAAAAAAAGUGGAAAUGUAUUGAAUAUUACAAAAAAAUUAAAAACAAAAAAAAGUGAACCUAUGUUUUACCAAUUAGUCAUUGUUAUUAUUACCAAGUAGUACUCCUAUAACUUAGUAACUUACCAUAUUAUCAAUGUCAUUAUCAUUAUUUAAAAAAAAAAUAGAAAACAAAGAAGGGAAAGUGAUACUUUGUUUACCACCGAGUCAACGACAACUUUGUUCACUCCGCCCAGCCAUUUCCACAAUCAACUCACCAUCUUCAACUCCCAUUUUUUCCAUGAUUCCAUCAUUUUAAUUUCAAUAUCAAUAUCAUCCCGGCUUCAUAAAACAACAGAUGUACAACUUAUACCCAAAUCAAUGCCAAAAUAGGAGAGAGAAAGUAGCUCAGAUCAACAACAAUGGUGGAAAUAGCUGCGUCGUCUUUCAUGUUUAGAUCUAUGCACGCAUACAUGACGAUCGAUGUUCCAGGCUUCACAGAAAACAGUUCAAGCCCAAUUUGACUGAAGACCAAUGAUUCUUUGAAUUUUGAAUAAAUGACGGCUUUGGAAAGAGCGAGAGGUGACGCAAUCAGAACAAUCGUCGGGUGGAGAUGCAAGAAUUAACGCUUCCAUUUCUGCAUGCAUCCAAACUGCUUUUCUGGUAUAUUAUUCAUAAUCUUCAGUAAUCUUUGUUUUUAUAAUUCUAAUGUUUUAUUUGCCAAUUUUUCUGAAUUUUGUUGUAAAUUGUUUCAGUCAUGUUUUUUUAACCAAUUUCCAAACAAUUAUUUAUUUGCAUGAUGGAUUGCCACAUUAAAAUUCAAUGACGUGAAUUUUGUGUAA
Molecule: long non-coding RNA, 1105 nt
Organism: Spinacia oleracea (spinach)
Lineage: Eukaryota; Viridiplantae; Streptophyta; Magnoliopsida; Caryophyllales; Amaranthaceae
Exons: 2
Source: RefSeq, a predicted model, not a curated record